This is a small nucleolar RNA of Diceros bicornis minor, 73 nucleotides long. RefSeq annotates it as small nucleolar RNA SNORD113/SNORD114 family. The record is from RefSeq and is a predicted model, not a curated record. The transcript has a single exon. Lineage: Eukaryota; Metazoa; Chordata; Mammalia; Perissodactyla; Rhinocerotidae.
UGGACCAGUGAUGCCCACUGGUGGGUAGGAGUCAAAUAUGGUGAAGACUACGUGUCUGUGACUCUGAGUCCAC